GAGAAAUUGAAGAGUAAGAGUAGUAGUAUAGUUAAGCUAGUUAUAGAGAAUCAGUGGUUGGUGAAAACUGAUCUAGUCGCUAUAUGAAUGGACUUAUGAGAGUAUCUAUGAACCAAUUUGUAGUAGUAGAUAACGAAUCAUCCUCGUUACGGAUGUCGAGAUCAGAUUGUUUAGCAAUCUGAAAUUGAGGUGGCACCGCGAAUAAUAUCGUCCUCAUG
This 218-nucleotide non-coding RNA is filed under the name Kurthia sp. Its description in RNAcentral is "T-box sequence". It matches the Rfam family "T-box leader". Rfam says of the family: Uncharged tRNA acts as the effector for transcription antitermination of genes in the T-box leader family. T-boxes are found upstream of many aminoacyl-tRNA synthetase genes and some amino acid biosynthetic genes usually in Gram-positive bacteria. Lineage: Bacteria; Bacillati; Bacillota; Bacilli; Caryophanales; Caryophanaceae. The record is from RNAcentral.